UACAGAGGGUGCAAGCGUUAAUCGGAAUUACUGGGCGUAAAGCGCACGUAGGCGGUUUUUUAAGUCAGAUGUGAAAGCCCCGGGCUCAACCUGGGAAUUGCAUUUGAAACUGGGAAACUAGAGGGUGUGAGAGGGGGGUAGAAUUCCAAGUGUAGCGGUGAAAUGCGUAGAGAUUUGGAGGAAUACCAGUGGCGAAGGCGGCCCCCUGGCACAACACUGACGCUCAGGUGCGAAAGCGUGGGGAGCAAACAGG
RNAcentral lists this ribosomal RNA (253 nucleotides) under uncultured bacterium. Its description in RNAcentral is "partial 16S ribosomal RNA". It matches the Rfam family "Bacterial small subunit ribosomal RNA", at positions 524 to 776 of the family's 1533-position model. The record is from RNAcentral.